Molecule: ribosomal RNA, 524 nt
Filed under: uncultured bacterium
Lineage: Bacteria
Description: partial 16S ribosomal RNA
Rfam family: Bacterial small subunit ribosomal RNA
Source: RNAcentral
GACGAACGCUGGCGGCGUGCCUAAUACAUGCAAGUCGAGCGCAGGAAACUGACGGAACUCUUCGGAGGGAAGGCAGUGGAAUGAGCGGCGGACGGGUGAGUAACACGCAAGGAGCCUGCCUCAAGGAUUGGGAUAACUCCGAGAAAUCGGAGCUAAUACCGGAUAGUUCAUCGGACCGCAUGGUCCGCUGAUGAAAGGCGCUCCGGCGUCACCUUGAGAUGGCCUUGCGGUGCAUUAGCUAGUUGGUGGGGUAACGGCCCACCAAGGCGACGAUGCAUAGCCGACCUGGGAGGGUGAUCGGCCACACUGGGACUGAGACACGGCCCAGACUCCUACGGGAGGCAGCAGUAGGGAAUCUUCCACAAUGGACGAAAGUCUGAUGGAGCAACGCCGCGUGAGUGAUGAAGGUUUUCGGAUCGUAAAACUCUGUUGUAAGGGAAGAACACGUACGAGAGGGAAUGCUCGUACCUUGACGGUACCUUACGAGAAAGCCACGGCUAACUACGUGCCAGCCGCCGCAGUAA